AGGUAGAAAGUUGUGUUUAUGUGGCAUGCUGUAUAUUUUAGGAUAGCUAAUGUCUGCCAUUUCUUAGUAAUUUUCUCGGCGACUCUAGCUGUUGAUGCAACGGUUGGUCAGGUUGUGCCGGCAGAACCCCGUACCUUGUGACUUAUGUUUCCAGGUGGAUGAUGCUGCUGAUGAUACUGAGGCAUAGUUGGAGGGAGGCUUCUGAGGGCCUUUAAACUAUGAGAGUUCCAGCUGACUGCCCGUGCUAAAUGGUAGUACUUCAAUGCACAUGGAAGUAUGCCCACGUGCAUCACUGGUGUUUGAUAAGAUCAAUGACAUGCUGAUUAUACUCGUACUAGUUACUCAAUAACUAUAUUAGGUCGAGCAUUGUAACUUUUCAUGUCAUAUUUCAAGUUGGAACACAUUCUAAAUUCUACGCUACUGAAUGUAGUUCUGCGGACAGCUAGCUUUCCAGACCUAACAUAAAUGAUCGAAUAAAAAAAUGCGAGGUGGGAUUAUGUUGUAAAGCUGAUACUGAUUAGUGUGACUAGGUAUUUACAGCUAAUCUUGCCCCGUCUGUUUCUGAAAAUCGGUUGCUUUUGUGCAUUAGCAGGAGUGUGAAGCCAGUUGAUCCAAUUUAUGAACUGGAAGCGCCUUCUAGAUCUCUCGUUGAGCAUGGAGCUACUGUGAGUACCUAUGACAAUGAUGGAAUCUUUUUCCUCGCACAAUACCCAUGAGACUAGCUUCAGGGGUUCAAGACUAUACAAUCUAUACACAGACAGUCUUCAUCUGGUGCUCAAAAUAUGCAAUUAACAACUGGUGUAUAUUGUUGCGUUGGAAUGAACAGGUACUAAGGAGUUCUAAAGCGUUUACCGCAACUAACACUUCUCUGUGACCUCGUGUUCGUAGAUUUUACUUGCCAAAUUUUUAAAAUUUUCAGCUGCUUGCCUGUUUCAAAUGAUUCCUGUACCAAAGCCAUUGAAUUACUCUGUGGAACACUUUCACCUAUAUAAAUAUUGUAUUUUAAAACUUUGGACAUAUAAAAAAAAUCUUGUAAGCA
This 1039-nucleotide long non-coding RNA is filed under the name Physcomitrium patens. RNAcentral's name for it is "long non-coding RNA (PPAT_LNC005016)". The record is from RNAcentral. Lineage: Eukaryota; Viridiplantae; Streptophyta; Bryopsida; Funariales; Funariaceae.